CCUACGGGAGGCAGCAGUAGGGAAUCUUCCGCAAUGGACGAAAGUCUGACGGAGCAACGCCGCGUGAACGAUGAAGGCCUUCGGGUCGUAAAGUUCUGUUGUUAGGGAAGAACAAGUGCUAGUUAAAUAAGCUGGCACCUUGACGGUACCUAACCAGAAAGCCACGGCUAACUACGUGCCAGCAGCCGCGGUAAUACGUAGGUGGCAAGCGUUGUCCGGAAUUAUUGGGCGUAAAGCGCGCGCAGGCGGUUUCUUAAGUCUGAUGUGAAAGCCCCCGGCUCAACCGGGGAGGGUCAUUGGAAACUGGGAAACUUGAGUGCAGAAGAGGAAAGUGGAAUUCCAAGUGUAGCGGUGAAAUGCGUAGAGAUUUGGAGGAACACCAGUGGCGAAGGCGACUUUCUGGUCUGUAACUGACGCUGAGGCGCGAAAGCGUGGGGAGCAAACAGGAUUAGAUACCCUGGUAGUCCACGCUGUAAACGAUGAGUGCUAAGUGUUAGAGGGUUUCCGCCCUUUAGUGCUGAAGUUAACGCAUUAAGCACUCCGCCUGGGGAGUCGGUCGCAAGCUGAAACUCAAAUGAAUUGGNGNGAGAGNGCGACGACGACGACGAGGGAGAGG
RNAcentral lists this ribosomal RNA (616 nucleotides) under uncultured bacterium. Its description in RNAcentral is "bacterial SSU rRNA". It matches the Rfam family "Bacterial small subunit ribosomal RNA", at positions 338 to 946 of the family's 1533-position model. The record is from RNAcentral.